Molecule: long non-coding RNA, 279 nt
Organism: Mustela lutreola (European mink)
Lineage: Eukaryota; Metazoa; Chordata; Mammalia; Carnivora; Mustelidae
Exons: 3
Source: RefSeq, a predicted model, not a curated record
ACCUUACCUGCCUUUGGGGAUCUUAUAGUUCAAUGGGAGGUUCAGAGAGGAACACUGAUCAUUUCAUUACUGGAUUUGCAAGUUAACUGAGAGGUAUGGAAAGCUCUUGCCUCUACUUGGGGAUGAACCAGCCCAUUCAUGGGACAUAUCAAGACCAAAAAGAAUAAUUCAUCAACAAUAAGGAGACUUUGAUGUGUAAAUAGAAGCAAACAGUUAAAACCAGCAUUCAAUAAUUUAAACCUUAAAAUCUUACCAAAGAAGACUUGGACUAUCCAAAAG